GAGUUUGAUCCUGGCUCAGGAUGAACGCUAGCGGCAGGCUUAAUACAUGCAAGUCGUGGGGCAGCAGCUUUGUAGCAAUACAGAGGCUGGCGACCGGCAAACGGGUGCGGAACACGUACGCAACCUACCCAUAACUGGGGAAUAGCCCGGGGAAACCCGGAUUAAUACCCCGUAACAUAUUGAUAAGGCAUCUUAUUAAUAUUAUAGCUCCGGCGGUUAUGGAUGGGCGUGCGCCUGAUUAGGUAGUUGGCGGGGUAACGGCCCACCAAGCCUACGAUCAGUAACUGGUGUGAGAGCACGACCAGUCACACGGGCACUGAGACACGGGCCCGACUCCUACGGGAGGCAGCAGUAAGGAAUAUUGGUCAAUGGACGCAAGUCUGAACCAGCCAUGCCGCGUGGAGGAUGAAGGUCCUCUGGAUUGUAAACUUCUUUUAUCUGGGAAGAAACCCAUGAAUUCUUUUGUGGUUGACGGUACCAGAUGAAUAAGCACCGGCUAACUCCGUGCCAGCAGCCGCGGUAAUACAGAGGGUGCAAGCGUUAUUCGGAAUUAUUGGGCGUAAAGGGCGCGUAGGCGGCCAUGCGUGUCUUCCGUGAAAUCCCUCGGCUUAACUGAGGACGUGCGGAAGAAACUGCAGGGCUUGAGUCCGGGAGAGGGGGGUGGAAUUCCCAGUGUAGCGGUGAAAUGCGUAGAUAUUGGGAGGAACACCGGUGGCGAAGGCGGCCCCCUGGACCGGUACUGACGCUGAGGCGCGAAAGCGUGGGUAGCAAACGGGAUUAGAUACCCCGGUAGUCCACGCCGUAAACGAUGGGCACUUGGUGUCGCGGGUAUCGACCCCUGCGGUGCCGAAGCUAACGCGUUAAACGUGCCGCCUGGGGAGUACGGUCGCAAGAUUAAAACUCAAAGAAAUUGACGGGGGCCCGCACAAGCGGUGGAGUAUGUGGCUCAAUUCGAUGCAACGCGAAGAACCUUACCAGGCCUUGACAUGCAUCUCUAAGUUGGUGAAAGCCAGCGAGUCCCGAAAGGGACAAUUUGCACAGGUGCUGCAUGGCUGUCGUCAGCUCGUGUCGUGAGAUGUUGGGUUAAGUCCCGCAACGAGCGCAACCCCUGUGAACUGUUGCCACCGAGCCGUGAGGCUCGAGCACUCUGUUCAGACUGCCCCGUUCUAACGGGGAGGAAGGUGGGGACGACGUCAAGUCAGUAUGGCCCUUACGGCCUGGGCUGCACACGUGCUACAAUGGCGGUGACAAUGGGAAGCAAUGGCGCGAGCCUGCGCAAAUCUCAAAAAGCCGUCUCAGUUCGGAUUGCACUCUGCAACUCGAGUGCAUGAAGUUGGAAUCGCUAGUAAUCGCGGAUCAGCACGCCGCGGUGAAUACGUUCCCGGGCCUUGCACACAC
This 1398-nucleotide ribosomal RNA is filed under the name uncultured bacterium. RNAcentral describes it as "partial 16S ribosomal RNA". It matches the Rfam family "Bacterial small subunit ribosomal RNA". The record is from RNAcentral.